RNAcentral lists this ribosomal RNA (310 nucleotides) under uncultured bacterium. Its description in RNAcentral is "bacterial SSU rRNA". It matches the Rfam family "Bacterial small subunit ribosomal RNA", at positions 28 to 334 of the family's 1533-position model. The record is from RNAcentral.
GGUGAACGCUGGCGGCAGGCCUAACACAUGCAAGUCGAACGGCAGCACAAGAGAGCUUGCUCUCUGGGUGGCGAGUGGCGGACGGGUGAGGAAUGCAUCGGAAUCUGCCCAUUUGUGGGGGAUAACCUCGGGAAACCGGGACUAAUACCGCAUACGACCUACGGGUGAAAGCAGGGGAUCUUCGGACCUUGCGCGGAUGGAUGAGCCUAUGCCGGAUUAGCUAGUUGGAGGGGUAAAGGCCCACCAAGGCGACGAUCCGUAGCUGGUCUGAGAGGAUGAUCAGCCACACUGGGACUGAGACACGGCCCAG